RNAcentral lists this ribosomal RNA (492 nucleotides) under uncultured bacterium. RNAcentral describes it as "partial 16S ribosomal RNA". It matches the Rfam family "Bacterial small subunit ribosomal RNA", at positions 29 to 507 of the family's 1533-position model. The record is from RNAcentral.
AGUGAACGCCGGCGGUAGGCCUAACACAUGCAAGUCGAACGGCAGCACAGUAAGAGCUUGCUCUUACGGGUGGCGAGUGGCGGACGGGUGAGGAAUACAUCGGAAUCUACUUUUUCGUGGGGGAUAACGUAGGGAAACUUACGCUAAUACCGCAUACGACCUACGGGUGAAAGCAGGGGAUCUUCGGACCUUGCGCGAUUGAAUGAGCCGAUGUCGGAUUAGCUAGUUGGCGGGGUAAAGGCCCACCAAGGCGACGAUCCGUAGCUGGUCUGAGAGGAUGAUCAGCCACACUGGAACUGAGACACGGACCAGACUCCUACGGGAGGCAGCAGUGGGGAAUAUUGGACAAUGGGCGCAAGCCUGAUCCAGCCAUACCGCGUGGGUGAAGAAGGCCUUCGGGUUGUAAAGCCCUUUUGUUGGGAAAGAAAAGCAGCAGGUUAAUACCCCGCUGUUCUGACGGUACCCAAAGAAUAAGCACCGGCUAACUUCGUG